GACGAACGCGGGGGGCGUGCUUAACACUUCAAGUCGAAGGAGCUAUUUAUUUCGGAAGAAGUUAAGUGGCAAACGGUUGAGUAACGCGUAGGCAACCUGCCCUCAGGAUGGGGACAACGGCUCGAAAGAGCCGCUAAUACCGAAUGAGGUAACUCUUCCACAUGGAAGAGAUACUAAAGAUGGGUCAAACCAUCGCCUAAGGAUGGGCCUGCGUCUGAUUAGCCAGUUGGUGAGGUAACGGCUCACCAAAGCGACGAUCAGUAGCCGAUCUGAGAGGAUGAACGGCCACAAUGGGACUGAGACACGGCCCAUACUCCUACGGGAGGCAGCAGUGGGGAAUCUUCCGCAAUGGGCGAAAGCCUGACGGAGCAACGCCGCGUGAGUGAAGAAGGUCUUCGGAUCGUAAAGCUCUGUUGUCGGGGACGAAAGAGUAGACGAGGAAAUGCGUCUAA
Molecule: ribosomal RNA, 452 nt
Filed under: Veillonellaceae bacterium oral taxon E37
Lineage: Bacteria; Bacillati; Bacillota; Negativicutes; Veillonellales; Veillonellaceae
Description: bacterial SSU rRNA
Rfam family: Bacterial small subunit ribosomal RNA
Source: RNAcentral